UCCUGGUUAGCUCAAUUGGUAGAGCGCUCCACCUGUAAUGGAGAGGUCCCGGGUUCGAUACCCGGACCAGGCG
This is a non-coding RNA of Ixodes scapularis (black-legged tick), 73 nucleotides long. The record is from Rfam. NCBI's taxonomy places the organism in Eukaryota, Metazoa, Arthropoda, Arachnida, Ixodida, Ixodidae.